Molecule: RNA transcript, 2126 nt
Organism: Argentina anserina (silverweed cinquefoil)
Lineage: Eukaryota; Viridiplantae; Streptophyta; Magnoliopsida; Rosales; Rosaceae
Exons: 3
Source: RefSeq, a predicted model, not a curated record
AUAUCAAAUGAAAAUACGCUUAAACCUUCAGUCAGCUGCUCAAAGCUCAACCAAGAAACCCAGUUUUCCGACGACCAACCUCGCCGCCUGAUGGAGGCCCAAACACCCAGCCUCACACUCCUCGGCGACUCCGAGCGUCGAAAGCCGCAAGCGCCGAAGCGGUUCAUCCGGAGCCAAAUCCCGGACUCCAUACUCCACGACCCAGCCCUCAACGCCGCCAUAAGCCUCCUCCCUUCCAACUACCACUUCGAGGUCCACAAAUGCGUCUGGCGCGUCCGUUCCACGCACGCCACGCGCGUCGCCCUCCAGCUCCCGGAGGGCCUCCUCAUGUACUCCCUCGUCCUCUCCGACAUCCUCUCCACCUUCGGCGGCGCCUCCCAGUGCUUCGUCCUCGGCGACGCGACUUACGGCGCGUGCUGCGUCGACGACCUCGCCGCCAAAGCCCUCAACGCCGACCUCCUCAUCCACUUCGGCCACAGCUGCCUCGUCCCCCUCCACGUCACCUCCAUCCCCUGCCUCUACGUCUUCGUCGAAAUCUCGAUCGACGUCGGCCGCUUGAUCCAGACCGUCCAUCUCAACCUCCAGAACCCCAUCCCCCAAACCCUAAUCCUCGCCGGAACAAUCCAGUUCGCCUCGGCGAUCCGCGCCGCCAAACCGGAGCUGGAGGCCCGGGGAUUCAAGGUGUUAGUCCCACAGUCGAAGCCGCUGUCCGCCGGCGAGGUUUUGGGCUGCACCGCCCCGAAAAUGUCGCGAAACCACGGUGGCGAUGACCGCGACUCUGUGCUGGUGUUCGUGGCCGACGGUCGGUUUCAUCUAGAAGCUUUCAUGAUAGCAAAUCCGGGAGUGAAGGCGUUUCGAUACGAUCCUUACAUGGGGAAGCUGUUUCUGGAGGAAUAUGAUCACAAGGGGAUGAGGGAGUCGAGGAAGAAUGCGGUGUUGAGAGCCAAGGAGGCUUCGAAUUGGGGCAUUGUGCUCGGAACGUUGGGAAGGCAAGGGAAUCCGAGGAUUCUACAGAGAUUGGAGAAGAAAAUGAGGGACAAAGGGUUUCAUUAUACUGUGGUGUUGAUGUCGGAGAUUAGUCCGGCGAGGAUUGCUUUGUUUGAGGACUCCGUGGAUGCUUGGAUACAGAUUGCGUGUCCUCGUUUGUCGAUUGAUUGGGGGGACGCGUUUACGAAGCCGCUUUUGAAUCCUUUCGAGACUGACAUUGCGCUCGGGUUGGUUCCUGGUUGGUGGGAGAGGGAUAAGAAGAGUGAUACGGGUUCAUGUGCUUGCGGUAAUGGCAAUGGGAGUGGUGAAGAACUUGUGGGGGACUAUCCCAUGGAUUACUAUGCUGCCGAUGGAGGGGAGUGGAACUCCUCUUAUGUUAACAAGCCGGCGCGCCCUGUUCGCAGGGAUUCUGCUUUGGGGAGUGCUAACAUUGAAUAGGUUAGCUUUGCUUUCUGGACUUUGAUGUACAAGAUAUGAGACUGCUGAAGACAUAGGUGCUUAUUUCAUGCAUUACUACGCUCUGGAUUGAGAGAAAUAGGACUUUUGUGUGCCGAAAAACCAACAUCUGUCGGCGUGUGUAUUCAAAUACUGCCGCCAUGAAAUAGAGCAGUCUGUGCUGAUUCUUCCAGGCUUAUCCGGUCAGGGACUGAGUUCCUCAGACUCGUUACGGCAAAUCAAGAUGGACAGAAACAAUUUACAUACGGAAGAGUAAAGUUAGCCUGAUUUGAACCGGUUUCCAGAUAAUUGGCAACUUGAAGUCUUGAACCAUAAGUUCUAGGACUGUUUUCUACUUUUCGGUUAUUACAUUGCAAGUGGUUUAGAGAGACGUGAGGUUCCGAGAGCCCCAAUAUUGUGAGAAUGUGUUUGCAUCCAUUUUCUACAAGCAAUGCCACAUAUGACACCAAAAAUUUUGCUCUCUGUUUGGUGUAAUUAUGUGUUGCAGGGGCAUGUAUCCUAGUUGAAUCUAUGUAACAUCUCAUGUCACAUGUAUUUUGUAGCAAAUCAUUUCUCUUUCGAAUUGCUGCAACUUGUAAAUUUCGUAGCACAUUAGCUCCAGAUGGGGAGCGUGAGACUGAUGUAAUACUGCUUGAUAGUCUUCCUCCCUACUUUUUAUUUUUUUUCUUUCUGUUCAGUAGCAG